This 76-nucleotide transfer RNA is filed under the name Atopobium minutum. Its description in RNAcentral is "tRNA_Ala_GGC". It matches the Rfam family "tRNA". From Rfam's summary of the family: Transfer RNA (tRNA) molecules are approximately 80 nucleotides in length. The record is from RNAcentral. Lineage: Bacteria; Bacillati; Actinomycetota; Coriobacteriia; Coriobacteriales; Atopobiaceae. RNAcentral also lists the same sequence under 17 other names.
GGGGAAUUAGCUCAGCUGGGAGAGCGCAUGACUGGCAGUCAUGAGGUCAGGGGUUCGAUCCCCCUAUUCUCCACCA